Molecule: ribosomal RNA, 302 nt
Filed under: uncultured soil bacterium
Lineage: Bacteria
Description: bacterial SSU rRNA
Rfam family: Bacterial small subunit ribosomal RNA
Source: RNAcentral
AGAUUGAACGCUGGCGGCAUGCCUUACACAUGCAAGUCGAACGGCAGCACGGGAGCAAUCCUGGUGGCGAGUGGCGAACGGGUGAGUAAUACAUCGGAACGUGCCCAAUCGUGGGGGAUAACGCAGCGAAAGCUGUGCUAAUACCGCAUAAGAUCUACGGAUGAAAGCAGGGGAUCGCAAGACCUUGCGCGAAUGGAGCGGCCGAUGGCAGAUUAGGUAGUUGGUGAGGUAAAGGCUCACCAAGCCUUCGAUCUGUAGCUGGUCUGAGAGGACGACCAGCCACACUGGGACUGAGACACGGG